Cyprinus carpio carpio is the source of this 2947-nucleotide long non-coding RNA. NCBI's taxonomy places the organism in Eukaryota, Metazoa, Chordata, Actinopteri, Cypriniformes, Cyprinidae. The record is from Ensembl.
GGUUAACAUUAAACAGGCUGAUUUUUUUUUCUAUAUAGGGUAUUUCGAAAAUGAAAGUAGUUAAAUCAAUGAGAAAAUAAAACUGUACAUACAAAGACACAAACAGGAAAUCGUAAGAAGCGUGCAACAGUGCGUCAUCGAGAAUGAUGAUAAUAAGAAGACUUGACAGCUCAGUAGGUAUAUCGACUAUGACUGUGACUGUAUUGUCAUGCUUUAAAAAGCUUAAAACCAACGUGAUGUUGAACACCUUGUACAGAAGAGACACUGAUAGCUGAAAUGGAAGUCAUCUUUUUUGUUUUACUUGUGAAGGGAAUCCUUGCCAAACUAACAUGCACUGUGUCAGUAUACCAGAAUCAGUCUGUUGCUUAUAUCAUCUCUGGACCUCCGACUGCACCUGGAUGCUUACCCGAAUGGACCGCUGCUAACACCAUGUUGGUUGAUGAGAAGGGAAAUAUUUACCAUCAAGUGGUUUUGCAUGCUGAACCACAAAGGAUUCUCACUAUAGACUGUCAAAAAGAUGUUGCAUACCGUCUGGAAUGUUUGGCACUUUGGGUUUCUUCAGUGGUCAAGUGCAACAGUGAGUAGUAAUGGUUCUUUCUGUUCCUUUUUUUUUUUUUUUUUGAUGAACAUCUGAGUUUAAAGUCUUUGAGCUGUUUUUAGCACUACUUUCUGGCUACCUUUUAAUUCAAUAAUGUUAUUUGUAUUAAAUAACUUUUUUAUUAUUAUUUUUAAAACAUUUGCCCAGAUAAGUGUCCCACUGCACCUGUUGCAACAGUCACAAAAGUAGCCUGUAGAGACUCAACUGUGGAGCUCCCAGUUACAGGCAGAAAUCAUGUUGUAGCAUUUGCUGUUGGUGGCAUUGCUGUACUACUUUGCUUUGUCAUCAUCUUUUCCAAGUACAGACAUCUAAUGUAUGAAUCAUGACUUUCCAUGACUAAAUGUUGACAUUGGAUAAAGAACUCAUGUUUCUUUUUUUUGGUUUUCAGGUAAUCCGUUGGUGUUGUUUAAAAAAAAAACAGACACAUUUUUGGGAAAUUGCUUUAUUUUUUGGACCAAGAAUUUAUGACACUUUAGUCAGUGCUGACUGUGUCUCACCACUGCCUGCUGUUUGGAUCUUUUGAUCAUUCAGAAAAAAGUUUCCUAAUUUCCAGCAUGAGGAAACACUUACAGCCACAGGUGCAAAAAAUGAAUAAGGGGGUGACAUAUAAUACUUAAAUCAGCUUGCGCAGGGGAAAGAAGGCAUGUGACAGUUUUGGAGCCAUCUAUGUUCCCCCAAAAGACAAUUUGUAACUUGCAGCUGUCACUUGUAUGUUCUGUGUUUCUGUUCUACCUGCCUUGUCCUAGUUUUCAUUUGUUGCUUGAUUAGUUCUUUUGUUUCCACCCGUGUUCAUUUAUCUUAGUCCAUCGUUUGGUUUUGUAUACCUGUGUUCAUUUCUUAUCUUAUUAGUCCUCAGUUUGUUUGUCCUGUUUCCGUCAUGUAAAGAGUUUUUUUUUUCUCCUGUUUUUUAAGAUUCUGUUUAUUUGAUAUCUGCCUCCUUCGUACUCAUUCAAGCUCCUUCGACUGGCAACCCCGUGACAGAAGACAGGAUCCUAAAAGGAUAGACUGGGCUGAGGAUUUACUACUUAACAUCCAGCAGGAGGGACGGCCAUUGGAACGAUAUGUGGAGUUCCUGAGUGUUUAUCAUCUGGUGAGCUGGAGCAAUCAUAUGUUUAAUGGUUGCUUCCGAAUGGGACUGUACGAUGAUAACUUGUUCCGAUUUCUGUCUCCUGGUGAUAGUUAUAGACCUGUAACAGACAUUCUAAAUCACGUCCUCAAUAAUCGUCCAGAUCCCAUCUGGAAGCAUGUAGGCGCUCCGGCUCACCUUAAAUCAGCACCUUUCAUAUACUGCUCCAAUGAGCCCGCUCCCUUCGUUCAACCCAUGCCUUCGGGAUCCCAUCCAAGAUCCAUUUCAGCCCAGAAAAUGAGGCACCAGCGCUCCUGGAUUUGGCUCUUCCUCUGGAGAUCUCUGCUCCUAUCUUCUCACCUGAGUCUGCUCCAGAAAGCUCUCCUGAGUUUCCUUCAUCUCUGCUAGUCCCUUCCAGCCCUCCUUCAUUUCCUGAGUCUCCUGUGUUAGCGCCCUCCAACUGCCUGCCCCUCGAGAGCGCCUAGUUUUCCCCAAGAAAAUUUUGGGAGGCAGUCUAUAUAAAUGUGGCCACACCGGCUAAGGCCACGGAGGAUCUGCCUUGGCCUCCUGAGUCCCCUGAUCCGCCAUGGCCCCCUGAGUUACCAGCUUCUCCAUGCCUCCUGGAGCUACCAGAUCCGCCCACCACGUCCACCACUGAUGUCAUGUGUAUGUUCUGUGUUUCUGUUCUCUCUGCCUUGUCCUAGUUUUUCCUUUGUUGCUUGAUUAGUUAAUUUGUUUCCACCCGUGUUCAUUUAUCUUAGUCCAUCAUUUGGUUUUGUAUACUGUAAAUGGCCCUGACUGUCCUCAGUUUGUUUGUUUGUCCUGUCUCCGUCAUGUAAAGAGGUUGUUUUUCUCCUGGUUUUUCCAAGUGGAUUUAUUAAAAGACUGUUUAUUUGAUAUCUGCCUCCUUGGUGCUCCUGCACCUAGCAACCCUAUGACAGUAGCUAAGUUGUAAAUUAUAUUAACUUUCUCAGUCUACAUCAUUAUAAAUAAACUCAGUAUGUUAUGUACUAACAAUUGCAAAACAGGUUUUCUUUUCACUUUAACCCGCAGCUUUAAACUUAACUAAACCACUUCUGCAUAUAAGGGCAUCGGCUUUCAUAAUCUUAAACUUGCUGCCUUUUCUGUCUGUAUGCAUUUAUUUUAUUUUUCUGUGCAAUAAAUAACGUGGAUUGUGAAGGUAUUAAGGACCAUUUGUUUACUGUUUUUAUAAUACUGAUGUAAGACGCAAGUAAUUGUAACUUUAAUCACCUGCAGCUCCUGUGAAUAAAAAUUGUUUUAAC